GCUGCGCUGUGGCCUGGGGGAUGCGCUCGGCCAGCGAGGCCGGCGGCCGGUUCUGCUGGAUCGACUCCAGCAGUGCAGCA
This 80-nucleotide transfer RNA is filed under the name Aquipseudomonas alcaligenes. Its description in RNAcentral is "Pseudomonas alcaligenes tRNA-Arg(gcg)". Lineage: Bacteria; Pseudomonadati; Pseudomonadota; Gammaproteobacteria; Pseudomonadales; Pseudomonadaceae. The record is from RNAcentral.